Ixodes scapularis (black-legged tick) is the source of this 74-nucleotide non-coding RNA. The record is from Rfam. Lineage: Eukaryota; Metazoa; Arthropoda; Arachnida; Ixodida; Ixodidae.
ACCGGGAUGGUCUAAUAUGUUAAGGCGUCGCCCCGGACAGGCGAAGGUUGCGGGUUCAACCCCCGCUCCUGGCC